This 697-nucleotide long non-coding RNA is filed under the name Gossypium barbadense (sea-island cotton). RNAcentral's name for it is "long non-coding RNA (GBAR_LNC005150)". Lineage: Eukaryota; Viridiplantae; Streptophyta; Magnoliopsida; Malvales; Malvaceae. The record is from RNAcentral.
AAAAAACAAAAAAUAUAACAGUCCAUUAAAUAAGGCUCUUUAAAUAGUCCAUUUACAGCCAAACUUGGUUAGCCCAAAAGCCCUAUGCCCGGUUACACCCAAGACCCGAUUAGCCUAAACCCUUGGCCCAAAACCUAUUUACCCAUUACACCCUUAGCACAAAAAACGAACGGGGCCCAAGAGGCCUAAAUUGUUAACAGAAUACGGAAAGGCCUAGGUUUCAGAAACCCUAGGCGCCGCAACCAUCCCAAGUGCCACGCCCUUUCGUCUCGCGCCGUUUCAGUGGGCUUCAUCGGCGUCAUGACUCCGGCACUCGUAUCACACCGUAGUCAAUGCAUGAAUCAAUGCUAGCACUCAUCGUCGAGAUUCUCGCUUACCUGCAAAGAAGGAAGGAAACAACAACAAACAAACAAAACAAAUAUGGAAAGAAAUAAAAGAUUUCUUCCCAAAAUAUGUAAUAGAAACAGUGGCUAUAAAAGCCUCCUUUGUAACCUGUAAACAGACACAGAGAUUUUAACAAGGAAUAGAAAAGCCAAAUACAUACAGUUUCUUUUAGGUGAAUCCUCAAUCUUUUAUUAUUUUUAUUUUUAUUUUUUAGUAUUCGAAGCAUAUACAUUCAUAUAUAAAUAGUUGGUAAAUAGUUUUAAAAACAAGGAAAGAGUCUUACCCUUCGAUAUAGGCGAAAAAACGAAGCUUU